GGCGAGAUGGCCGAGUGGUCUAAGGCGCUAGUUUCAGGACUUUGAUUCUACAGAAUCAACACCUUGUCUACUAGUCUUCACAGGCGUGGGUUCGAAUCCCACUCUCGUCA
This is a non-coding RNA of Plectosphaerella plurivora, 110 nucleotides long. The record is from the annotation of a GenBank genome assembly. Lineage: Eukaryota; Fungi; Ascomycota; Sordariomycetes; Glomerellales; Plectosphaerellaceae.